GAUGAACGCUGGCGGCGUGCCUAAUACAUGCAAGUCGAGCGAACAGACGAGGAGCUUGCUCCUCUGACGUUAGCGGCGGACGGGUGAGUAACACUUGGAUAACCUACCUAUAAGACUGGGAUAACUUCGGGAAACCGGAGCUAGUACCGGAUAAUAUAUUGAACCGCAUGGUUCAAUAGUGAAAGACGGUUUUGCUGGCACUUAUAGAUGGUUCCCCGCCGCAUUAGCUAGUUGGUAAGGUAACGGCUUACCAAGGCACCGAUGCGUAGCCGACCUGAGAGGGUGGUCGGCCACACUGGAACUGAGACGGGGUCCAGGGUACUGCGGGAGGCAGCAGUAGGGAAUCUGCCGCAAUGGGCGAAAGCCUGACGGAGCAACGCGGCGUGAGUUAUGAAGGUCUUCGGAUCGUAAAACUCUGUUAUUAGGGAAGAACAAAUGUGUAAGUAACUAUGCACGUAUUGACGGUACCUAAUCAGAAAGCCACGGCUAACUACGUG
Molecule: ribosomal RNA, 497 nt
Filed under: uncultured bacterium
Lineage: Bacteria
Description: partial 16S ribosomal RNA
Rfam family: Bacterial small subunit ribosomal RNA
Source: RNAcentral